This 468-nucleotide ribosomal RNA is filed under the name uncultured bacterium. RNAcentral describes it as "partial 16S ribosomal RNA". It matches the Rfam family "Bacterial small subunit ribosomal RNA", at positions 28 to 507 of the family's 1533-position model. The record is from RNAcentral.
GACGAACGCUGGCGGCGUGCUUAACACAUGCAAGUCGAACGGAAAGGCCCUGCUUUUGUGGGGUGCUCGAGUGGCGAACGGGUGAGUAACACGUGAGUAACCUGCCCUUGACUUUGGGAUAACUUCUGGAAACUGGGGCUAAUAACGGAUAGGAGCUCCUGCUGCAUGGUGUGGGUUGGAAAGUUUCGGCGGUUGGGGAUGGACUCGCGGCUUAUCAGCUUGUUGGUGGGGUAGUGGCUUACCAAGGCUUUGACGGGUAGCCGGCCUGAGAGGGUGACCGGCCACAUUGGGACUGAGAUACGGCCCAGACUCCUACGGGAGGCAGCAGUGGGGAAUAUUGCACAAUGGGCGGAAGCCUGAUGCAGCAACGCCGCGUGCGGGAUGACGGCCUUCGGGUUGUAAACCGCUUUCGCCUGUGACGAAGCGUGAGUGACGGUAAUGGGUAAAGAAGCACCGGCUAACUACGUG